RNAcentral lists this ribosomal RNA (237 nucleotides) under uncultured bacterium. RNAcentral describes it as "partial 16S ribosomal RNA". It matches the Rfam family "Bacterial small subunit ribosomal RNA", at positions 1255 to 1500 of the family's 1533-position model. The record is from RNAcentral.
ACGCGAGUGGAUGCCAAUCCCCAAAACCUCUCUCAGUUCGGACUGGAGUCUGCAACCCGACUCCACGAAGCUGGAUUCGCUAGUAAUCGCGCAUCAGCCACGGCGCGGUGAAUACGUUCCCGGGCCUUGUACACACCGCCCGUCAAGCCAUGGGAGCCGGGGGUACCUGAAGUGCGUAACCGCGAGGAGCGCCCUAGGGUAAAACUGGUGACUGGGGCUAAGUCGUAACAAGGUAAC